Molecule: RNA transcript, 2956 nt
Organism: Corythoichthys intestinalis (scribbled pipefish)
Lineage: Eukaryota; Metazoa; Chordata; Actinopteri; Syngnathiformes; Syngnathidae
Gene: pdgfab
Gene name: platelet-derived growth factor alpha polypeptide b
Exons: 7
Source: RefSeq, a predicted model, not a curated record
UCGAGCAGGAUUUUCCCAUAGGAAUACAUUAUAAUUCCAUUAAUUCGUUCCACAGCCCAAAAACCUGCACUAAAUCCUUAAAAAAUACUGCUGGUGCUAUUACAAAUGGCAAUUACACGUAGCAAAACAAAUAAAUUAUAAAUCAAAAUUGGAAUAAUGUAAUAAAAAGAAUAAUAAUUCCUGUAAUAGUGUAACGAAUCGGGUUCUAAUAAGGCGGACGUUUUUUUGUGUACCUGAACGCACCGCGGGGCUCACGUGCCAGAAACAGACCGGUGAGCUUGAGUUUCACUUUCACUUUGAAUGUUCUCUUAACAACACCAUCAUUUGAGGCAGACAGCAGGCGUUUUGUGUUGAAUAAGUUGUAAAAGAAAUGAUGAAAACGUGGCGAAGCUGGCGAUUUCUUUGGAGACAAUAAGAAUUGUCAGCUUAAUUUAUAAAGACUGGCGAACGAUGGUCGGAGGAGGACCGUGGAGAUGUAUUGUUGAGCCAUUUCACGGAUGCCCACCCCACGCUCAUAUUUUUCUGUCAUUUGCAUCUUCAUUUCGAAGGACUUUCCCCAGGAGCUGAUCGACCGACUGUCCCACAGUGAAAUCCACAGCAUCAGCGACCUCCAGCGGCUGCUAGAAAUUGACUCCGUAGGUACGGGAAACGAUGUCAUCGAGGGGCCCAAGCAUCAUAAGCGCCACCACAACCACCAGCAUCAGCACAAGAAUUCCUCCCGUCAUCCGGGUUACUAUAGCGACCUGAAGAGCUCGCAGCUACACAGUCGCCGAAAGAGGAGUCUCGUGGAGGAGGCGGUCCCGGCGGCGUGCAAGACGCGGACGGUGAUCUACGAGAUCCCCCGGAGUCAGGUGGACCCCACCUCGGCCAACUUCCUGAUAUGGCCGCCCUGUGUAGAGGUCAAGCGCUGCACGGGCUGCUGCAACACCAACAACAUGCGCUGCCAUCCUUCGCGCAAGCACCACCGCACGGUUAAGGUGGCCAAGUUGGAGUAUGUCAAAAGAAGACCCAGGCUGAAAGAAGUCUUCGUGCGGUUAGAAGACCACCUGGAGUGCGAUUGCACGUCGCAGCAUCACAUCGUGGAGCACUCCAAUUCUGAAACAGGCCACCGUAUGGCAAAAGGUAAAAAAAGGAAAUCUAAAAAGCUAAAGGCCCUCAAGGAUUUAUUGGCGACAUAACGCAAGUCGCACCCAUUGCGCCCCCUUACCCCUCCAACCCUCCCUCUCAAUGGAACUCUGUGAAGGGAACAGUGGACGUAAGGUGAGGACGUCACCUCGGCUCAUCGUCAUAAAACUGAACUUUUUCCCCUUCGGGACUGAUGAACAGAAGAAAUAGUGAUGCCAAAGGUGCUUUUUUUUCUUAAUAAAAAAAAUGAUAAUAAGACUACCCAGUGAUGAAGAGGAGCGAACAACACAAAGGGAAUUCCGUGUUUUGGACGCUAAAGUGGCUGGAUGACAAAACGCGCGCGGGACGACAGACGGGACGUCGCCGCGUAUGUACAGAGCGGGCGCUCCUUACAAACUAUUUAUGUGGACACUCCAAAGGAUCCAUCCGGUUUUCACUCUUGUCUAUUAUUACUGACAGUGUAUCGAGUUUUGUGUACGCUUUGGAGUGGCGCCACGUGGGAAAAGCCAGUUGCAGAAAGAUGCUUUAUUUUUGUUAUGAAAUAUAUUACGCUUACUUUUCAAUGCUUAUUGAAUGUCUGUAUUUAAUCCAGUCGAUACGCGUCCGACGAAUGAUCACGUUUCGCCGACGUCAACGGCGAUAGGCGUCUGAUCAGGGACGCGGAUCGGACGUCAAUCGCCGUCGACGAGUUCGUGGGCGAGAAAUAUGCGGACGCUAUCGGUAAUGUAAACAGAGAGGAGUUAUUUUUCACUGUCGUGCUGAUAAGGAUGCCCACCCAGUCUGCUGUAACACACGUAAACACGCAAAGAGCAAAGUCCACCACCUUAAAGAGUGAAUGAAUAAGCAGAGCAUGAAUGAGCUCCUUGUUCCCGGCUUUGGAUGCAACCCCCUUUACACACGUCACAAUGGUGGAAACUCACUGUUAUUUUGCCCCUCAAAAGCAAGUGGUGGUCCAAACUAGGCAUGUGCCAGUAUGAUAUUCUGACAGUAUAAUAACCUUAGGCAAAAAUAUCACGGUUUCACGGUAUCACAGUAUCGCAAGAGAGAAAAAAACACCACAGGCUGUGUUAUGAAAAUGUUAUGAUGAACAUAAAAGUUGUAUCUAGAAUUUGGAAAAAAAUGUACUGUUCCCCGGAAAUUUGCCCCAAAAUUUUCCAUUCAUUUCUAAUGGGAAAAUUUCCCAUUCACUUCCAAUGGAAUUUACAUUGCAUUAAUGCCAUUGAGGGCCAUGCAUGUGGAAUCUAUUGAUGCUAAUGUACUUGGAUUCCAUUGACGUCUUGGUCACUCGAUGCCAUUGAUGUCCAUGGACAUCCAAAUUUUUUUCCAUUCAUUUUCAAUGGCAAAACAAAGGGAAAUGACCAGAUAUCAAUAGGAUGUGUCACCUAAGCUUCCCCGAUUCCAUUGACGCUUAUGAAGGGUGCUGCCAUGGACGUCCAAAUUGUCCAUUCAUUACUAAUGGCAUUUACUUUGUUUACCUCCAUUGACGGGCACCUUUGUCCAUUCUAUUGAUGCCGAUGUACUUGUAUUCCAUUGAUGCCUAUUUAAGUCGAUGCCAUUGACGUCCAUGGACUUACUAACUUACGGUUCCCCGUAAAUUUGCCAAAAAUUUCCCAUUCAUUUCUAAUGGGAAAAUUUCCAACUCACUUCCAAUUGAAUUUCCAAUUGAAUUUACAUUGCAUUGAUGCCAUUGACGGCCAUGCAUGCCGAAUCUAUUGAUACUAAUGUACUUGGAUUCCAUUGACGCCUAUGUAAGUCGAUGCCAUUGACGUCCAAAAUUUUUUCCAUUCAUUUUCAAUAGCAAAAAAAAAAAAAAACAAAAAAAAAAAACAAU